AUGGACGCAAGUCUGAUGGAGCAACGCCGCGUGAGUGAAGAAGGGUUUCGGCUCGUAAAGCUCUGUUGGUAGUGAAGAAAGAUAGAGGUAGUAACUGGCCUUUAUUUGACGGUAAUUACUUAGAAAGUCACGGCUAACUACGUGCCAGCAGCCGCGGUAAUACGUAGGUGGCAAGCGUUGUCCGGAUUUAUUGGGCGUAAAGCGAGUGCAGGCGGUUCAAUAAGUCUGAUGUGAAAGCCUUCGGCUCAACCGGAGAAUUGCAUCAGAAACUGUUGAACUUGAGUGCAGAAGAGGAGAGUGGAACUCCAUGUGUAGCGGUGGAAUGCGUAGAUAUAUGGAAGAACACCAGUGGCGAAGGCGGCUCUCUGGUCUGCAACUGACGCUGAGGCUCGAAAGCAUGGGUAGCGAACAGGAUUAGAUACCCUGGUAGUCCAUGCCGUAAACGAUGAGUGCUAAGUGUUGGGAGGUUUCCGCCUCUCAGUGCUGCAGCUAACGCAUUAAGCACUCCGCCUGGGGAGUACGACCGCAAGGUUGAAACUCAAAGGAAUUGACGGGGGCCCGCACAAGCGGUGGAGCAUGUGGUUUAAUUCGAAGCAACGCGAAGAACCUUACCAGGUCU
Molecule: ribosomal RNA, 619 nt
Filed under: Lactobacillus gasseri
Lineage: Bacteria; Bacillati; Bacillota; Bacilli; Lactobacillales; Lactobacillaceae
Description: bacterial SSU rRNA
Rfam family: Bacterial small subunit ribosomal RNA
Source: RNAcentral